This 261-nucleotide ribosomal RNA is filed under the name uncultured microorganism. RNAcentral's name for it is "partial 16S ribosomal RNA". It matches the Rfam family "Bacterial small subunit ribosomal RNA", at positions 9 to 269 of the family's 1533-position model. The record is from RNAcentral.
GAGUUUGAUCCUGGCUCAGGAUGAACGCUAGCGGCAGGCCUAACACAUGCAAGUCGAGGGGUAGAGGGUGCUUGCAUCCUUGAGACCGGCGCACGGGUGCGUAACGCGUAUGCAACCUGCCUUCCACAGGGGGAAUAGCCCAGAGAAAUUUGGAUUAAUGCCCCAUGGCACACCGAGACGGCAUCGUCUUGGUGUUAAAAGUAACAACGGUGGAAGAUGGGCAUUGCGUCCCAUUAGCUAGUUGGUAAGUAACGGCUUACC